GACGAACGCUGGCGGCGUGCUUAACACAUGCAAGUCGAACGGAAAGGCCCUGCUUUUGUGGGGUGCUCGAGUGGCGCACGGGUGAGUAACACGCGAGUAACCUGCCCUUGACUUUGGGAUAACUUCAGGAAACUGGGGCUCAUACCGGAUAGGAUCUCCUGCUGCAUGGUGGGGGUUGGAAAGUUUCGGCGGUUGGGGAUGGACUCGCGGCUUAUCAGCUUGUUGGUGGGGUAGUGGCUUACCAAGGCUUUGACGGGUAGCCGGCCUGAGAGGGUGACCGGCCACAUUGGGACUGAGAUACGGCCCAGACUCCUACGGGAGGCAGCAGUGGGGAAUAUUGCACAAUGGGCGGAAGCCUGAUGCAGCAACGCCGCGUGCGGGAUGACGGCCUUCGGGUUGUAAACCGCUUUCGCCUGUGACGAAGCGUGAGUGACGGUAAUGGGUAAAGAAGCAACGGCUAACUACGUG
This 468-nucleotide ribosomal RNA is filed under the name uncultured bacterium. Its description in RNAcentral is "partial 16S ribosomal RNA". It matches the Rfam family "Bacterial small subunit ribosomal RNA", at positions 28 to 507 of the family's 1533-position model. The record is from RNAcentral.